UAUUAUCAAAUUAAUUAGUUACAAAUUAUUUCACGAUUACAAAUAAAAAAAAUUCAUAGGUCAAUCACAAAUUAUAAAAUUAAUUGGUCACAAUUUAUUUAUCAAUCACAAAUUAUAAAUUUUAUAAAUUAUAAUUCAAAUUUUUAGGUCAAAAAUUAUUUGUUGGUCACAAUUUUAAAUAAUUAGUCAAUACUUCAGAUUCGCAGUCAAUCCAGCAAACCCUACCACGACUACUAGAUCCAUCACUACCGCCACCAACAAAAAUCAUAGCCAAAUCAUGCCAGAGAAACACCACAAAUUGGAGAAAAUUUCGUAUUGUUGCUGCGUGUAGAGAUUUGUGAUUGACAAAUCGUCGUAUGGCACUACGCAACUGUUGUGCCUCCGGGUAUAGAGGCUCCGAUGCCUCCAUGGUACAUAUCGCCACAAGGCGAAGUGUUGUAGCGUGACCCUGCCAUCACUUGCACGACCAUCACCAUCUACAAACCACCAUCAAUGACCAAAAAUCUACACAAAACAUCAACUAAGAAGCAGACCAAAAAGAUACAACUCAAAAACAAACCUUGUGGAUAACGAUGUCGCCAUAGCGUUCAGAUCAUUAGCCCCUGAUCUACUGUUGUGCAAUGACUGCUGCUGCGACAGAUCAUCAUCACCUAAUGUGCCACUGUGUAAUGGCUGCACUUUAGUAGAUCAUCGUCGUUGAAUAGUGCCGAUGCGCGUAGGUGCCAAUUGUUGCUUCAGAGUGACACUGUCGUGAGCCGACUUUUCUUCAAUGAUGCUUUGUGAUAAAGAGAAAGAACUGAGAAGGUAGAGGAGAAAAUGAUCAGGGUUUGAAAUGAAAUCUAGUGUGGUGGGUAUGUAAAUUAAUUCAAUUUUAUGAUAUUAUUAUUAAUAUUAAAAAUUUGAAUCAUAACUUGAUUUUUGAAUAAAAAAUUUUGAAAUUUGAUUUUUGAAUUAAAAACUUAAAAAACAUGUGUCGAUGUAAGUUCCGCUUAAAUUUAACGUCUUUUUGUUCUUUAAUUUGUGUUAUGCUGUUGAAAUAUAUCAAAACACGACAAUAGUUGUUUUGCUUGCAAAAAAUAUGAAGAAAAAUCUUGUAUGGAAAUUGCCACCCUGAAAUAAUCAAUGAAAAAAAAAAUUUUAAACUGAAG
Molecule: long non-coding RNA, 1148 nt
Filed under: Olea europaea (common olive)
Lineage: Eukaryota; Viridiplantae; Streptophyta; Magnoliopsida; Lamiales; Oleaceae
Description: long non-coding RNA (OEUR_LNC003259)
Source: RNAcentral